UGCCACGCCCACAUCAACAUCACCGUGGCGUGUUCACUGACCAUUAAACAGUAGGAAAUGUCACUCAGCAAUGAGACCUGGGUCACGCUGACAUCAUGGUUGUGUUCUGUGUCCAUAUGAGUUUGAAUCUGCUUCAGUGAGGAGAACAUCACAGUCCACGCUUCCUUCAAACAGUCCACAGACCCGUCAGGUCUGAGCGUCGGGGACAUUUCACGCUUUUUGAAAUCAGCUCUCAGGAUUACAGCAGCUCAUGGAUGUCAUCAGUUUCCUGUUCUGGAAUUGGUUUUAUAGAAAAAUCCUGAUAUCUGACAGCUCAUGGGAAGGACCAAAGGGAGGAGGCCAGAUAUGAUAGCUGAGCAAAAAUGUUCUAUAACAAAAGUAAAAUAAGCAAACUCAUGUAGCUCAGUGAAGUCAGCGGGAUGUGCAGUGUCUGGAUCUGUGACAUGGACUGAAAGAAACCAUAACACAAACCAAACAGCCAAAAUCAAACUCCAAGUAGAGACAGAAAUCCUGCUGCCACCAUUCAUUUCUGUUUGGAAGCAGACAUAAAGUCCUCGUGCUGUCAAAUCCAGAACCACUCGAGCCUUUUGGAGCCGUUUACAUCUGUGAAAAAGGUGGAAACAUGUCAAACAUGUGAGGAAGAACCAGCAGCAGCUCACACGUUUACCACAACCACACACAGUCCUCUGAGAGCAGCGUGGCCUCCAUCUUUGAAACAAAGUUCACAGUGAAAAUCAAACAAACUCGCUGAUUGAUUAUUGAUUGAUUUUCAGAGAUGAUGUCAGAUCGGGGCUGCUCAGGGUGCUGUGGCUGUAAAACGCCAAUCAUAUCCACUCAGAGAGCCUAACUAAGCCCCGCCCCUCUUCAUACACCUUUUCAUAGAGGACACACACACUGAUGCAGGAACAGAUGGAUGCACAUGAAAGCUUCACACACUCCUGAUGAGUGAGGACACACACACUCACAACAUGAGCAGCCAGCAGGCUUUAAAUGCUCAGUGUGAAGAAGUUUCCACACUUACCUUAAUAUCAUCAAGCAGCCUUCUUCUUCUACUGGUUCCCACAGUUCCCAGUGUUAAUAAAUGCACAGCCACAUGUGCUCUCUGUCAUCAGCUACAGAUCUGAGAUCAGUAGCUUGUCCACUGUAGGCUUUAUCUUUUCCAUGUAACUGUGCUGCUUCACAGAGAGGGAGAACUGCAGCGCUUUGUUUGCUUGUGAACAAUAUGUGCAUGUUAAAUAUGAACAGCUGCUCCAGCAUGUGUUAGUGUGACAGAC
Oreochromis aureus is the source of this 1274-nucleotide long non-coding RNA. The record is from Ensembl. NCBI's taxonomy places the organism in Eukaryota, Metazoa, Chordata, Actinopteri, Cichliformes, Cichlidae.